UGAGCGCGCCGGACGGCCGCGGGUACCGAGCGAUCGGGACCUGAGGAAAGUCCGGGCUCCACACGGCGAGGGUGCCAGCUAACGGCUGGUCGGGGUAACCCGAAGGAAAGUGCCACAGAAACAAACCGCCGUCAUGCUCUCACGAGCGUUGACGGUAAGGGUGAAAUGGUGCGGUAAGA
Molecule: RNase P RNA, 179 nt
Rfam family: Bacterial RNase P class A
About the family: Ribonuclease P (RNase P) is a ubiquitous endoribonuclease, found in archaea, bacteria and eukarya as well as chloroplasts and mitochondria.